This 443-nucleotide ribosomal RNA is filed under the name uncultured bacterium. RNAcentral's name for it is "partial 16S ribosomal RNA". It matches the Rfam family "Bacterial small subunit ribosomal RNA", at positions 338 to 795 of the family's 1533-position model. The record is from RNAcentral.
CCUACGGGUGGCAGCAGUGGGGAAUAUUGGGCAAUGGGCGCAAGCCUGACCCAGCAACGCCGCGUGAAGGAAGAAGGCUUUCGGGUUGUAAACUUCUUUUCUCAGGGACGAAGCAAGUGACGGUACCUGAGGAAUAAGCCACGGCUAACUACGUGCCAGCAGCCGCGGUAAUACGUAGGUGGCAAGCGUUAUCCGGAUUUACUGGGUGUAAAGGUCGUGUAGGCGGGGACGCAAGUCAGAUGUGAAAACUCAGGGCUCAACCCUUGGACUGCAUUUGAAACUGUGUGUCUUGAGUGCUGGAGAGGCAAGUGGAAUUGCGGGGGUAGCGGUGAAAUGCGUAGAUAUACGGAGGAACACCAGUGGCGAAGGCGGAUUGCUGGACAGUAACUGACGCUGAGGCGCGAAAGCGUGGGGAGCAAACAGGAUUAGAUACCCCAGUAGUC